This 491-nucleotide ribosomal RNA is filed under the name uncultured bacterium. RNAcentral describes it as "partial 16S ribosomal RNA". It matches the Rfam family "Bacterial small subunit ribosomal RNA", at positions 29 to 507 of the family's 1533-position model. The record is from RNAcentral.
GUGAACGCUGGCGGUAGGCCUAACACCUGCCAGUCGAACGGCAGCACAGUAAGAGCUUGCUCUUACGGGUGGCGAGUGGCGGACGGGUGAGGAAUACAUCGGAAUCUACUUUUUCGUGGGGGAUAACGUAGGGAAACUUACGCUAAUACCGCAUACGACCUACGGGUGAAAGCAGGGGAUCUUCGGACCUUGCGCGAUUGAAUGAGCCGAUGUCGGAUUAGCUAGUUGGCGGGGUAAAGGCCCACCAAGGCGACGAUCCGUAGCUGGUCUGAGAGGAUGAUCCGCCACACUGGAACUGAGACACGGUCCAGAGUCCUACGGGAGGCAGCAGUGGGGAAUAUUGGACAAUGGGCGCAAUCCUGAUCCAGCCAUACCGGGUGGGUGAAGAAGGCCUUCGGGUUGUAAAGCCCUUUUGUUGGGAAAGAAAAGCAGCAGGUUAAUACCCCGCUGUUCUGACGGUACCCAAAGAAUAAGCACCGGCUAACUUCGUG